CCUACGGGAGGCAGCAGUAGGGAAUCUUCCACAAUGGGCGAAAGCCUGAUGGAGCAACGCCGCGUGAGUGAUGAAGGCCUUCGGGUUGUAAAACUCUGUCAUUCGGGACGAACCGGAGUCUGAGGAAAUGCAGACUCUCUGACGGUACCGGAGGAGGAAGCCCCGGCUAACUACGUGCCAGCAGCCGCGGUAAUACGUAGGGGGCAAGCGUUGUCCGGAUUCACUGGGCGUAAAGCGCGCGCAGGCGGUGAUGUAAGUCUGAGGUGAAAACCCGAAGCUCAACUUCGGGACUGCCUUGGAUACUGCGUCACUUGAGGAUAGGAGAGGCAAGGGGAAUUCCACGUGUAGCGGUGAAAUGCGUAGAGAUGUGGAGGAACACCUGUGGCGAAGGCGCCUUGCUGGCCUAUUUCUGACGCUGAGGCGCGAAAGCGUGGGGAGCAAACAGGAUUAGAUACCCUGGUAGUCCACGCUGUAAACGAUGAGUGCUAGGUGUAGGUGGGCUCAUACCCAUCUGUGCCGAAGCUAACGCAUUAAGCACUCCGCCUGGGGAGUACGGUCGCAGACUGAAACUCAAAGGAAUUGACGG
RNAcentral lists this ribosomal RNA (586 nucleotides) under uncultured bacterium. RNAcentral describes it as "bacterial SSU rRNA". It matches the Rfam family "Bacterial small subunit ribosomal RNA", at positions 338 to 916 of the family's 1533-position model. The record is from RNAcentral.